Megalobrama amblycephala (Wuchang bream) is the source of this 1581-nucleotide long non-coding RNA. RefSeq lists it as uncharacterized. The transcript has 3 exons. NCBI's taxonomy places the organism in Eukaryota, Metazoa, Chordata, Actinopteri, Cypriniformes, Xenocyprididae. The record is from RefSeq and is a predicted model, not a curated record.
AAUAGUACACUGGUGAAUCUUAAUCAUUAUUUUCAAAAACAUGUUUUAAAGGUAAAAAUGAUUUUUUUUAAAUCAAAUAUCAUGAAUUAUCCUUAAAUAUCAUGUUUUUACAUAGUCGCACCACAUGACAUUUUACAACCUGAAAUAACCUUGUCAUGACAUAAAUAGGUCAAAUGAUCUGAUAUUUUAAGAGCCUUAUUGAGUUUGACACAGUCAUGAGGGUCUGCAGGGGUCCUCUCUAUGACAUUAUUUCCUGUUUUAAGUUUUCUUCAGCAUGUUUCACCACUGCGUCUCACCUUACGAGGUUGGCCGUCAUGUCCCAGCACCUCCCUGUAAUACUCCACAUUCUCAGUCAUAAACUCUUCACCUUCAUGGAAUAACAGGUAGGUCAAAGCGCACUCCAGUGCCUUUUCAUUCCUCCCAGCUGAACACACAGAAAACAGAAAGAUUUAUUAAGUGUUAAUGAAGCCACCAAGGCUCUGUUUCUUGGCUCAUCUGGAAGAUUAUUAUCCUGUGAUUCUUUGGAGUCAUCUUUUCCCACAGUCACGUUUAUUUCCUUUUGGAGACCUACGCGCUUGGAAACAUUCGCAUUCCAGGCCAGUGACCACAAUGGAACAAACUCCACAGGGCUGAGCGAGUGGAAACACGGCUUUGAGACAUGCAACAGAGACGCCACUCGCACACACACCUGAAUGACUUGCCAUUUUAUGAACAAUAAGCAGCUAAGUGUCUGUACAAGUAAAAUUUCUCAUAUCAGAGCUCAUUUUCUUAAGGUAGGAGUGAAAAGUUCAGCUUUGACAUUUCCAAGAAGAACUCAAUCAAGUAUAUUUAUGAGACUCUCCUUCUCCUUGAGAACUAUUUGUACAGUUUGACUGAUGGAAGUUGGUUGAGUUGUUGCCAAUAUCUUCUAUCCUGAGUACAAAGUCCAAGAAGAGAAUUGGGGUCAGAUACUAAAUCAAGCCCAAAGAGGUUUAGUCCAAGACUAGAAGUUGUAAAGGGAUUCCUUGCUGAAUUCUGAGACAUGCCAUCAUGGACAAAACCCCCUGAAGCUAACGUAAGGAACACUGACAAGUCCUGUGAAGAACAAGUCCUCUCACGACUGGCCAAUUCUUUAAUCUUUCCCAAAAUGUUUUGAGACACAUUUAGGCCAUAAAUGCAUGUCAAUCAUGCUACAGUUUUUCACAUCCCUCUUUAAUCAACAGAAUUCAAUCAGCAAUAAUUAAGAAGCCAUUAUUAAUUUUACAAGCCAAACAGUGGGGGGACGUUAUGAUAUAAGUGUUGGUGAAUUAUGACUCCCUGUUUGACUUUUAUGGGCUCUGUGCCUUUCACAUGAUUAAAAGAUGUCCAUUAGUUAUAUUGGUUCCCUUCACACUACCAUUGCAGCAGUUUUACUGAAAUUGAAGCAUUACAAGCUGGACAGAAAGCAGCUAGAAUUGUAGUUCUGUCAAUAACUGGUUAUAUGAAUAUGAUAAAUGAAAUACACUGCCAUUCAAAAGAUUUAAUGUUUUUGAAAGAAGUCUCUUUGCUCACAAGGCUCAAGGCUGCAAUUAUUUAAAUAAAAUAUUAUUACAAUUUAAAAAU